GUGCUAUACUGCAUCGAGCGAACUGAUUAGAAGCUUGCUUCUAUGACGUUAGCGGCGGACGGGUGAGUAACACGUGGGCAACCUGCCUGUAAGACUGGGAUAACUUCGGGAAACCGAAGCUAAUACCGGAUAGGAUCUUCUCCUUCAUGGGAGAUGAUUGAAAGAUGGUUUCGGCUAUCACUUACAGAUGGGCCCGCGGUGCAUUAGCUAGUUGGUGAGGUAACGGCUCACCAAGGCCACGAUGCAUAGCCGACCUGAGAGGGUGAUCGGCCACACUGGGACUGAGACACGGCCCAGACUCCUACGGGAGGCAGCAGUAGGGAAUCUUCCGCAAUGGACGAAAGUCUGACGGAGCAACGCCGCGUGAGUGAUGAAGGCUUUCGGGUCGUAAAACUCUGUUGUUAGGGAAGAACAAGUACAAGAGUAACUGCUUGUACCUUGACGGUACCUAACCAGAAAGCCACGGCUAACUACGUGCCAGCAGCCGCGGUAAUACGUAGGUGGCAAGCGUUAUCCGGAAUUAUUGGGCGUAAAGCGCGCGCAGGCGGUUUCUUAAGUCUGAUGUGAAAGCCCACGGCUCAACCGUGGAGGGUCAUUGGAAACUGGGGAACUUGAGUGCAGAAGAGAAAAGCGGAAUUCCACGUGUAGCGGUGAAAUGCGUAGAGAUGUGGAGGAACACCAGUGGCGAAGGCGGCUUUUUGGUCUGUAACUGACGCUGAGGCGCGAAAGCGUGGGGAGCAAACAGGAUUAGAUACCCCUGGUAGUCCACGCCGUAAACGAUGAGUGCUAAGUGGUUAGAGGGUUUCCGCCCUUUAGUGCUGCAGCUAACGCAUUAAGCACUCCGCCCUGGGGGAGUACGGUCGCAAGACUGAAAC
Molecule: ribosomal RNA, 875 nt
Filed under: Priestia megaterium
Lineage: Bacteria; Bacillati; Bacillota; Bacilli; Caryophanales; Bacillaceae
Description: bacterial SSU rRNA
Rfam family: Bacterial small subunit ribosomal RNA
Source: RNAcentral